UAUAAAAAAUGCGUUCCAAGCGAACAUGAACGAUGAUUGGUAUCGUACACCGUGUUGUUCCAAGCGAUCCAUGUACCGCUUCGAAAUCGGUAACUGAACGGCCCUUUUGAUACAUGCCUUCAAGCAGAAACUAUUUGUACUGACUUGCGCAGUUAGGAUUGUUUUCAUUUUUACUGGUCACUGCUAUGAGAUCAGCUGAUGAUUCAAUAAUAGAAUAAUCCACAAUUUACGCUAUUAGUACCUGUGAAUCUUGAUUUCCGUUUAAAUAAUUAUUAAUUCUUUUUUUUUUCAAAUUAAUCUUAUAAAAAUGGAUAAUUUAUUAUUUUCUUUUUUCAUAGAAGACAACGAUUUAAUGUCAGAUAUCGAUUCUGGGGAAGGUUUUGAAGCUGAAGUGAUGUUUAAUGAACAUGUUAAGUCCACUUUACAUCAACAAUAAAUUGAACAAGAAAUUGACAAAGUUAUUUAAGGUCAAAUUUGGCUUAUACAAAACACAAUUCUACAUCCAAUUUUGCCGUGAAUAAAAAGAAAAUUGACAAAAUAAAACAUAUCCAAUUGUUCUAUUUCAUCAAAUUAUUUCACUUUCUUUUACAAACCAUACAUUUUGUACUCGUCAAAUUUGGUAUUGAAUAACUUUGUCAAUUUCUUAUUCAAUUUAUUGUUGAUGUAAAGUGGACAUUAGAAAUAUUAAUUUCUAACCAUCUAGCAAACUACUAUAAUAGUGGUACAGUGGUACUCGCACUGAAAAUGGCUCAGGCGCAACUCGAACUUGAAAUGGUACACGAAUUCGUUCCAAGAGGGUUAUGUACCGGUAAUCGGAUCGAGAUCGAAAGAAAACCGUUCAAGGGCGAUUCUGCGCAUUAAAACCGUCCAAUCGAUUUCGUGGCGGUUCAAGGGAUCGUACAAAUGUGUCGUCUUGGAACGAACCUACUAUAUUGGGUGCGUUCGGACGACCACAGCGGCUGGACAGCUGAGCCAGCAGUAGCUGUCAGACGUCACCGCUGGAAGCCAGCCGCUGAGAGAUUUACUAAAGUCCACUUUACAUCAACAAUAAAUUGGACAAGAAAUUGACCAAGUUAUUCAAGGCCAAAUUUGACGUGUAAAAGCACACUUUGACAUCUAAGUUUGUUCGUUAUAAACUUCACGUGAAGAAAUUGACGAAAAAGAAAAUUGUUCUAUUUUUUCAUUUAUUUGGCGUGAAUUCAGUGUCACCAACCUGUGUCCAUUUGGCGGGAAGUGGAAGUAGAGCUGUAGAGCUUUUUGUUUAUUAUUAUUUGUUGAGGUUGAGUCUUUCAUGUUCAUGACAACCUAAAAAUUUUGAUUGGAAAAUGCAUAUAAGAUAAGGGGGUGGGAAAAUGGAAAUUAGUGGCUUUUUUGCAGUUCUGUCUGUUAGUUUUGCUCUGGCUGGGUCUCUUUUGUUUAAACAAUUAUAAUCAGCUGAAAGUGGUCUACAAAAAACCAGGAAGGAAACGUAUUAUAGCCUUGUUGUGGCUAUGAAAGGCAAAAGAAAGAUACCUAUAAAAAGUGUAUUGACUAGUUGGAAGAAACUCCACAUUGUCGAUGCAUAAUAAGAUAUUACUUUAUAAACAAAUAUCAAGACCUAGGAAUGGAACCUGGAUAAUAUAGUCAUCAAGAAGAUAGCAGGAGGUCAUGAGCAACAACAACUUCAUAAGUAUGAGAAUAUUGAGGAAAUCCAGCUCCUCGAUAUCUACUACUAGACAAACUAGAAGAUUGAAGAGGACAAAGCCUUUUGAACUAGUUUGAGUGAUAGGUGAUAGUGAAAAGCAGAGCGUAGUGCUUGUGUGCCUGUGUAUGUUAGAAUAGUGCACGAUCUUGUUAGAUUAGAUAAGAGACGCUAUAGGGUAAGCUCUUCAUUUUAAGGAACAGUAGUAAUUUAGGUUAAAUUAAAAUUGCUCAUUGGUCAGUUAUGACCAGAUUGUAAUUCUCUGAUGUUUGGCAAAAAGGGCUGAAGUCAGAAUUGCACAUCAAUAAUGUUUUGAUGAUUUCUGGACCAUAAAAAAAGUGUUGCAGACUUAAACUGUAUGUACCAAUAAAAAGAGCCGAUUUUUCUGGUCCAGAAAUCAUCAAAACAUUAUCAAUGUGCAAUUCUGACUUAAGCCCUUUUUCCCAAACAUCAGAGAAUUGCAAUGUACAAUUCAAUACAAAUGAAUCAUCAUCGUAGUGAUGAUUAUGGAAAAAAAUAUAUAUAUAUAUAGAAAUAUAUAUAUUUUGUGCAAUAAAAAUGUUUAUAUUUA
This is a long non-coding RNA of Diabrotica virgifera virgifera (western corn rootworm), 2252 nucleotides long. RefSeq lists it as uncharacterized. The record is from RefSeq and is a predicted model, not a curated record. Lineage: Eukaryota; Metazoa; Arthropoda; Insecta; Coleoptera; Chrysomelidae. The transcript is spliced from 2 exons.